This is a non-coding RNA of Megalopta genalis, 1515 nucleotides long. Lineage: Eukaryota; Metazoa; Arthropoda; Insecta; Hymenoptera; Halictidae. The record is from RefSeq and is a predicted model, not a curated record.
CGUUAAAUUAGCAAUAGUAAAUAAAGGAAGUCAUAUUUGUUAAAUACUAACUUCACUCUUUUCAUUAAAUUUUCAACUCUUGGAUGGCAGUUCAUAUAUUCAGUUUGACUCUGCCUUCCAAAAAAUUUAUUUGACUUCUUAGCUUCCACCAGCUAACAUAAGGUAUUAAUUAUGUGUACGAUGCUAAAGAGAAAGUCAAUAUGUAUUGGAGAAGUACAUCCAAAAAUAUCUACUUACAAAAAAAUGUAUAAGAAUAGCAUCAAAUUUACAAAGAAUAUUUGUUUUGUAAGGACUAAUGUUUUUACUUUAUGGAACAUUUACUACAAAAAGAAUAAAAAAGAGUUAUGAAUAUGUAUGAAGAUCAAAGUUAAAUUCAAUAAAAAGUAUAUACAUUAUUGAAGUGAUAGGAAAUAAUGACAAUUUUUAAUUCUGAGAAAUAAACAUUCACAUCUUUGAAAUUCAUAAAUUAUAUAUAUUUUUCACGCAAUAUGAUUUUAUUUUACAGUAGAAGACAGAUUAAAGAAGUGCAAAAAUAUAUGUAUCUAAGGGUCCCCUUCAGACAUGAAUCUGGGGCCUGAACCAUACAGAGGCACUGGAAGAAAUGCAAACAGACUUCCUGAAAAGACUAAUGAGCGCAGCCAGAUAUAUUCCAGGGUACAUAGUGAGAGCGCAAUCAGGGGCAAUAAAAUUAGAGAUAGAGAUAAUCAAGAGAGCAAUAAAAUACUGGAACACACUGGAAAGCUUGAACGAUAAAAUAUUUCUAAAAAUAUGCUGGGAAAGACUAUAAACUAUGAAUAAGAAAAUCUCAAUUUUAAGAGAAAUUGGGCCACACAACUAAAGACCAAACUCCAGGAGUUUUUUAUCGAUAUCAAUAAUAUGCCCUAUACAUUAGAGGGAGAGAACACACUAACCAAUAUUUUAAUACAAAUAUACAUAAAAUUGGCGAAAAAGAUAAUCACAGAAUCAGCAACUCAAGCUAUGGUGAAAUUUACAAAGAAAUAAAAAAUAAAACAAUACUACAAGAGCUAUAAGAACUAGCUAAGCUGUUAUACCCUUUACCCAAACAAAAUAAUACAUAAUCGCACAAAGUAGAUUAACAGAUAAAAUCACAUGGAAGUUGACAACAUAGUCAGAGUCUAAUCAUACAAAAAAUGUGAACCAGAAAUGCCUUAUCUGUCACAUACAAGAACUAGAGAACAGGAGACAUAUUCUGAUAGCCUGUCCUAUUUGGAAGGUUAUUCAACCACCUUUGCUACAAAAUAGCGACUUCAAAGAGUUGCUAUCAAUACAUAGCGCAAAGCAGAUAUGGGAGCUAGCAAACUUUCUAAAAGCUAGCAUGAAGUUGAGAGCCUUUUGCAUGGGAGAGUAAACCAAGGAACCAAUAAAGCACAGUGCUCUAGUUACACUAUUAGAAAUAAUUCAAAAUAAUUCUAAUUACAUGCAAUACCACUAUAUACCAAAGAUUUUAAUAGAUCUAAGGAGUCAAAAUAAUAAAUAAAACUUAAUUUAGCCUAA